Molecule: ribosomal RNA, 301 nt
Filed under: uncultured bacterium
Lineage: Bacteria
Description: partial 16S ribosomal RNA
Rfam family: Bacterial small subunit ribosomal RNA
Source: RNAcentral
CAGUAGCCGCGGGAAUACGGAGGGUGCAAGCGUUAAUCGGAAUUACUGGGCGUAAAGCGCACGCAGGCGGUCUGACAAGUCAGAUGUGAAAUCCCCGGGCUUAACCUGGGAACUGCAUUUGAAACUGUCAGGCUGGAGUCUUGUAGAGGGGGGUGGAAUUCCAGGUGUAGCGGUGAAAUGCGUAGAGAUCUGGAGGAAUACCGGUGGCGAAGGCGGCCCCCUGGACAAAGACUGACGCUCAGGUGCGAAAGCGUGGGGAGCAAACAGGAUUAGAUACCCGUGUCCCUGUCUCUUAUACACA